RNAcentral lists this ribosomal RNA (492 nucleotides) under uncultured bacterium. RNAcentral's name for it is "partial 16S ribosomal RNA". It matches the Rfam family "Bacterial small subunit ribosomal RNA", at positions 29 to 507 of the family's 1533-position model. The record is from RNAcentral.
AGUGAGCGCUGGCGGUAGGCCUAACACAUGCAAGUCGAACGGCAGCACAGUAAGAGCUUGCUCUUACGGGUGGCGAGUGGCGGACGGGUGAGGAAUACAUCGGAAUCUACUUUUUCGUGGGGGAUAACGUAGGGAAACUUACGCUAAUACCGCAUACGACCUACGGGUGAAAGCAGGGGAUCUUCGGACCUUGCGCGAUUGAAUGAGCCGAUGUCGGAUUAGCUAGUUGGCGGGGUAAAGGCCCACCAAGGCGACGAUCCGUAGCUGGUCUGAGAGGAUGAUCAGCCACACUGGAACUGAGACACGGUCCAGACUCCUACGGGAGGCAGCAGUGGGGAAUAUUGGACAAUGGGCGCAAGCCUGAUCCAGCCAUACCGCGUGGGUGAAGGAGGCCUUCGGGUUGUAAAGCCCUUUUGUUGGGAAAGAAAAGCAGCAGGUUAAUACCCCGCUGUUCUGACGGUACCCAAAGAAUAAGCACCGGCUAACUUCGUG